This 18-nucleotide microRNA is filed under the name Gallus gallus (chicken). RNAcentral's name for it is "gga-miR-2126". The record is from miRBase by way of RNAcentral. Lineage: Eukaryota; Metazoa; Chordata; Aves; Galliformes; Phasianidae.
AGCGGCGCGGUAGGAGCA